RNAcentral lists this ribosomal RNA (304 nucleotides) under uncultured bacterium. Its description in RNAcentral is "partial 16S ribosomal RNA". It matches the Rfam family "Bacterial small subunit ribosomal RNA", at positions 506 to 809 of the family's 1533-position model. The record is from RNAcentral.
CAGCAGCCGCCGCGGGAAUACGGAGGGAGCUAGCGUUGUUCGGAAUCACUGGGCGUAAAGCGCACGUAGGCGGCUAUUCAAGUCAGGGGUGAAAGCCCGGGGCUCAACCCCGGAACUGCCUUUGAAACUAGAUAGCUUGAAUCUUGGAGAGGCGAGUGGAAUUCCGAGUGUAGAGGUGAAAUUCGUAGAUAUUCGGAAGAACACCAGUGGCGAAGGCGACUCGCUGGACAAAUAUUGACGCUGAGGUGCGAAAGCGUGGGGAGCAAACAGGAUUAGAUACCCCAGUAGUCCCUGUCUCUUAUAA